Molecule: small nucleolar RNA, 213 nt
Gene: U3
Rfam family: Small nucleolar RNA U3
About the family: Small nucleolar RNAs (snoRNAs) are involved in the processing and modification of rRNA in the nucleolus. There are two main classes of snoRNAs: the box C/D class, and the box H/ACA class.
Source: Ensembl
AAGACUAUACUUUCAGGGAUCAUUUCUAUAGUUUGUGACUUGAGAAAUGUGUUUUGAAAGUGUAUGUUCUCGCUGACCACGAUGAAGAGUUGUUGAUACUCCUUCCUGAGCAUGAAACAGACAGAGACCUGGUUUACUCCUGGUGUUUUGUCACUGAUGAUUGUUCACUGUGUCCUCUGGAGACAGUGAGGGGAGGAGUAUGAUCUGAGUGGU